This 289-nucleotide ribosomal RNA is filed under the name bacterium. Its description in RNAcentral is "partial 16S ribosomal RNA". It matches the Rfam family "Bacterial small subunit ribosomal RNA", at positions 515 to 803 of the family's 1533-position model. The record is from RNAcentral.
CCGCGGUAAUACGGAGGGUGCGAGCGUUAAUCGGAAUUACUGGGCGUAAAGCGCGCGUAGGCGGCGUGAUAAGCCGGUUGUGAAAGCCCCGGGCUCAACCUGGGAACGGCAUCCGGAACUGUCAGGCUAGAGUGCAGGAGAGGAAGGUAGAAUUCCCGGUGUAGCGGUGAAAUGCGUAGAGAUCGGGAGGAAUACCAGUGGCGAAGGCGGCCUUCUGGACUGACACUGACGCUGAGGUGCGAAAGCGUGGGUAGCAAACAGGAUUAGAUACCCUGGUAGUCCACGCCGU